UUUUAGCCCCGAUAGAGCCGAUAUCCUUUUUAUGGCUUUUUCUGCCAUAAAAAGAUAAAGGCGAAAGCGGGAUUAGCU
Molecule: small RNA, 78 nt
Filed under: Flavobacterium saccharophilum
Lineage: Bacteria; Pseudomonadati; Bacteroidota; Flavobacteriia; Flavobacteriales; Flavobacteriaceae
Description: Flavo-1 RNA
Rfam family: Flavo-1 RNA
Source: RNAcentral